GUCUUUAUAUUUGCAUUCAUCCCCUUUUAGCAGCAUUAAAAUGCCAAUUUAUUACAUAUUUAAAGUGUUCAUUUCUUGAUAUUUAAAGGCUUUCCAAGCUAGCUAAUUGUUAAGAUUAAAUGCCAGGCUCUUUUCCCUCUUCUUUGCCGAAGUAAAUUUAAUUCUCACACAUACACACACUUUCUUUUAUACUGAGAAUAACUUAUACCUCACAGUGACCUGAAGCAGGCUGAAAUUCCUUCAAACAGAAAGCAAGUGAAUUUCUAUAACCCUAUGCCUUUAGGCAGGCUUCUCAGGAUCUAGAGAACACUGCCAGCUCCCUCCCCUACUUGGAAUGAGGCAUAGAAUGUAGUUUGGUAGUUUACUACAAAAGCAAAUGCCCAAUUGUCCUCUGGUGUUCAAUCUCCAGGCCUGAAUUCUAAUGCCUACGUAAACAGGGAAAAUUUCUAUUUUUGAUGUUUUGUACUAAUGAAAUAAUAUUCCAAAUUAGUCACCCUUUAAAAUGAUCUCAAAUGGCCACUAGAUCCCAUUAGUACAGAACAUCCUUUUGCAGCAAUAGACGUAAGAGAUACUAUAAUAUUCGGGAAGUGGUGAAAAAUAAAAUUUCAUUCUAUUUCCCUGGGGUAGUAAUCCUUGGGACAACUCUACACAGAGACACUGGGGUAAUCCUCAUAAAUCACUGCUGCAAUCCUGUACUUCUUUGUUUAAGAAAUUUCAAUUGCUUCUGCCCAAUUUGCUUAGAACAGUAAUCUCUAGAAUUUUUAAUCACACAAUUCUGAUUAAGAAAAAAAAAUAUUGAACAUAUACUCAUGCAUCUUUACCUCUGUAUUAUAUCCAGGUAGCUACUAGAUGUGUACACUAUACGUUUUACCAUAUAUUUUUUAUGUUUUAUAAAAUGCAUUUUAAAGACCUGUUUUUAUAUUUGCUUCCUCAUUGGUUUAUCAUUUGCAAAUAGGACAUACCUCAUGUUUGGAGAUCACUGGCUUAGAGAAUGAGUCCAAACCCUGCAUCCUUGUUUUGUACAACCUGAUGAUGGCUCUUCCUUUCUUUUCUACUCAUAUUAUAUUUGCAACACAAUUGUUGAAGAUAUCAAUAUUUUUUCUACUUAUAAUAUUUUUAUUAAAAUUGUUUGAAUAGUUCAUAUAUUAAAAAAAUACUGUACAUAAAAAACUACUCAGCCAUAAAAAAGAAAGAAAUAAUGCCAUUUGUAGCAAUAUGGAUGGACCUAGAGAUUAUCAGACCAAGUGAGGUAAAUCAGAAAAAGAAAGACAAAUCACCAAAAUAUCACUCAUAUGUGGAAUCUAAAUAUGAUACAAAUAAACUUAUUUAUAAAAAAAGAAUCAGACUCACAGAUAUAGAAAACAAAUUUAUGGUCACCAAAGAGGAAAGGGGAUGUGGGAGGGAUAUAUUAGGAGUUAGGUAUUAGCAGAUACAAACAGCUAUAUAUAAAAUAAACUUCAGGGUCCUACUGUAUAGAAUAGGGAACUAUAUUUAAUAUUAUGAAAUAAACCAUUGGAAGAGAAUAUGAAAAAUAAUAUGUAUGUGUAUAUAUAUAGAGAGAGAACUGAAUCACUCUGCUAUAAACCUCAAUCUGAUGCAACAUUGUACUGUAAUUCAGUAAAAAAAAAUGUCAACUAAAAAAGUAAUUUGAGGAAGUUCCCAUUGUGGCUCAGCCCAUGAGGAUCAAGUUCAAUCCCUGGCCUUGCUCAGUGGGUUAAGGAUCUGGUGUUGCCAUGAGCUGUGGCAUAGGUCAUAGAUGCAGCUCGAAUCCUGAGUUGCUCUGGUGUAGGCCUGUAGCUGUAGCUUGGAUUUAAUCUCUAGCCUUGGAACUUCCAUAUGCUGCACUUGCAGCCCUGUAACGAAAAAAAUGAAAAUGAUUAGUACAAAAGGAUCAUGGACAAAAUUUAUACUCUCACCUUAAGUAACUAGAAAUCUGAACAAAAUAUAAGGAACAGUGGUUUUCAGACAUUGCACAAUGGCCAGAUGAGUACACUAAUCCCUGAGAAAAAGCAAGCAAUUGAAAGGAACCCUAAACAUGCCUCACUUCACUCUCUAGAGAGUUUUCAGGAAUGUGAUGGGACUAGAGAACCCAUUAAGAGACUCAGUUUCCCUGAUUUAAGCAAUCAAGAGUUCAGCAUUCAGGAAAGUCUAGGAUUUUCAGAAAGAAAGAGACAGAGACAGAGAGAAUACUGUGAAUGCAUUCAGAAGAGUCCCUUUGAGUUUUUUUGCAAAGUACUUAUUUACACUUGCAUGUGAGGUAAAUACUUUAGGGAAUCAGCCACCAGAAAAGCUUUGAAAGAUUAAACCACAGAGAUCACAUCAUGCUGGGAGUGAUUUGUGUUCCAGCAAGCCAGAAUGGAACAAACUCUUAAUACACAGGGCAUGGGGUAGAAUCCUCAAAGGAGUUACUUCAGUAUUAGAGACACAUUAGCCACAGGUUGAAGGGUGUUCUGGACCUAUGCUUGGAAAACUUAAAAACUUCAAAAGGAUAAAACUCAUUCCAAGCAAAUUGGUGGAAUAGCAGAACAAUGCCUAAUAGUUGUAUAAAGGAUUAAUAAAAUACAGCUAUCAACAAUGUCAAAUCAUAUGUCCAAUAUUAAAUAAAAAAAUUUUAGUCAUGCAAAUAGCAGAGAAUGGGCCCUAUAUUCAGAAGAAAAAUCAAUAAAUAGAAACAGACUCAGAGAUGACAAAGAUGACAGAAUUAAAAAUAAGAACAUUAAAACAACUGCCUUAGCCAUUUAAGGCAGAUCUAUCAGAAUACCAUAGAUGGGUGGCUUAAACAACAAGAAACAUUUAUUUCUCACAGUUUAGGAGGCUGGGAAGUCUAAGAUCAAGGUGCAGCCAUAUACAGCAUCUGUUUAGGGUACUGUUUCUUUUUUUUUUUCUUUUUUCUUUUGGUCCUUUUAUGGCUACGCCAGCAGCAUGUGGAGGUUCCCAGGCUAGGGGUCAAAUCAGAGCUGCACCUGCCAGCCACAACCCCAGCCAUGUGGGAUCCAAGCCACAUGUGUGACCUACACAACAACACAUGGCAAUGCCAGAUCCUUAACCCACUGAGCGAGGCCAAGGAUUGAACCCUUAUGGAUACUAGUCAGGUUUGUUAACUGCUGAGCCACAACUGGAACUCCAAGGGCACUCUAUCACACUGAGAGGUAAGGAUUUCAACAUAGAGAGGGAGAUACAAAUAUUCAGUCUGUAACAACAGCUAUUAUAAAUAUACUUUAUAUGGUCAAGGAGAUAGAGGAAAAAUGUGACACAUUAAAAUAAUGAAUGAGCAAUAUAAAAAAUAUCCAAAUAUAAUAUCUAGCAAUAAAUAGUAUAAUGCAUGAAGGAAAGAUUAGGAUCUUAGAAUGGAAGGAAGAACAUCAGAAAUGGUAUCUAAGUGUACAGAAGACCUUUCUUUUCUCAUUUGCAAUCUCAUUAAAAGUUAAUCAUUUAAAAAUUAUUAGCCAUUAAGUGUUAUUUUUGACAGUAAAUCUAAAUUCCAGAUUAUUAAGUGUUUUUUUUAGAAAAAGAUUUGUUGUUGCUAAUUGAUAAUGGCAAAAUCAACUAAAUUUAAGAACUUUUGCUUAAAAUUGAUAUUUCAUUACCAUAGCUUUAUUUAUUUUAUAUAAUAAGAAAUUACUCUGUGAUAUAUCAUUUGAAGUAAGGGUUCUGUUGCC
This 3659-nucleotide long non-coding RNA is filed under the name Sus scrofa (pig). Its description in RNAcentral is "lncRNA (ENSSSCG00000057995.1)". The record is from RNAcentral. Lineage: Eukaryota; Metazoa; Chordata; Mammalia; Artiodactyla; Suidae.